RNAcentral lists this ribosomal RNA (683 nucleotides) under uncultured fungus. RNAcentral's name for it is "eukaryotic LSU rRNA". The stretch from base 233 to 386 matches the Rfam family "5.8S ribosomal RNA". The record is from RNAcentral. Lineage: Eukaryota; Fungi.
CUUGGUCAUUUAGAGGAAGUAAAAGUCGUAACAAGGUUUCCGUAGGUGAACCUGCGGAAGGAUCAUUAGUGAAUUGAAUAUGUUAGCGGACCUCUUCGGAGUCCCUAGCAUCAAAUCAUAUCCAUAACACCUGUGAACUGUAAGGCUGUCUUGAAAACGAAGGUGAUUAGAGCGCCUGCCCAUUUUAUACAAACAUUAAAGUAACAAACGUAGUCUUAUUAUAAUCUAAUAAAACUUUCAACAACGGAUCUCUUGGCUCUCGCAUCGAUGAAGAACGCAGCGAAAUGCGAUAAGUAAUGUGAAUUGCAGAAUUCAGUGAAUCAUCGAAUCUUUGAACGCACCUUGCGCUCUUUGGUAUUCCGAAGAGCAUGCCUGUUUGAGUGUCAUGAAAAUAUCAACCUUGACUUGGGUUUAGUGCUCUUGUCUUGGCUUGGAUUUGGCUGUUUGCCGCUCGAAAGAGUCGGCUCAGCUUAAAAGUAUUAGCUGGAUCUGUCUUUGAGACUUGGUUUGACUUGGCGUAAUAAGUUAUUUCGCUGAGGACAAUCUUCGGAUUGGCCGAGUUUCUGGGACGUUUGUCCGCUUUCUAAUACAAGUUCUAGCUUGCUAGACAUGACUUUUUUAUUAUCUGGCCUCAAAUCAGGUAGGACUACCCGCUGAACUUAAGCAUAUCAAUAAGCGGAGGA